Molecule: long non-coding RNA, 1459 nt
Organism: Leguminivora glycinivorella
Lineage: Eukaryota; Metazoa; Arthropoda; Insecta; Lepidoptera; Tortricidae
Exons: 4
Source: RefSeq, a predicted model, not a curated record
AAGGGGUCGAUGCCAGGAAUUUCAUUGCGAGACAGAAUUCGAAAUGAGGAUAUUCGCCAACGCAAUAAAGUUACCGACAUUGCAAAAAGGAUUAACUCAAGUGGGAAUGGACCGGCUAUAUUUUUCGCAGAGAUGACGAUCAAUGGGGUCGCCUAGUAUUGCUGUGGAGACCUAGCCUGGGUGGCCGAGGUGGCGGGAAACCACGAGCAGAUGGUCGGAUGACAUCAAAAAAGGGCAGGGCCCACCUGGCACAGAACCGUCACAUAUAGAACGGAGUGGAAACCCACGGAAUGCAGACCAGGAUUAUAUACUUUAGGUAUGAGUUUGUUACUUUUGCUCAUAAUAACAUGGAGUAUGUCACAGCUGCUCCAUGGGCUGCAUUGAGGGGCAACAGGAGCGAAAAUGUUAAAAUGGAAAGGAGCUCCCCCUUUCAAUUAGGGAAUCUUAGGAUAUGCUAAGGCAAACAGAAGGAGGCAAGGAACGGGACGGGACUGCAUCAAUUGCUGUCUGGAACCAAUCUUGUGGGAUGACUUCUGAACAGGGAAAAAACAAUUUCAUCAUCUACCCUAAUACUGACGAAUGUUCUAAAACGUGCUGUAAGGCAGACAUUUCCAAAUGUAACGGAGGAAAGUUUCGAGACAUGUAAUGGUUUCAACACGCUGCUGAGACCCAACUCAAGAGACGUCAGUUUGUACUGUUUAGUCCAUUCUCUAUUGGGCAUGCUUGUAUUGAGAGGUAUAUAUAUUGGAGUACAGACAUGGUGUUUGGUAUGAGUAUUAUAUACAUCCUCUUGAGUCAAAUAGGACCGGUAGCCACUUUGAACUCCGUGUCCGAAAGGGUCAAAGUAUGGAGCUCCCGGUACUCAGAAAAAAAAUUCUGGCCUAUUAGUUUUGAACUUUCGAGUCAAGUUUGGUGUCAUUUUUAUGUAAACUAUUCGUUUCGUUUUUAAAUUGAAGAAGAUUAAAAAUCACAGUAAUAUUAUAAAGGCAAAAGUUUGUGAGCAUACUGUGUUUGUUACUUCCUCACGCCACGCCCAAGUGCCUUAACAAAUAUUAUUUAUAAAAUUAAGUAUGGAGGAAGUACGAUAUACCCUAAGUUAACACGUCACUUCUUCUUGAUCGUGGGUAACACUCGGGGCGCAGUAUAAUGAUUAUUAAAAAUCUUUAUGCUGUCCCCUAUGCUGCGAUGGCGAUCGUUGCAGUACUUUCAAUAUUUUUUUUACAUCAAAUAUUAGAAUCAUCAAAGAUUACUAAUAAAAUAGGCUUUUUAGAAAUAUUUUUUAAAAAUCAUGAUUAGUAUAAAAAUACGGAAAUAUGAGGAUUUGUUUGCAUUUCGUGGCUACUAAAAAUUCAUUUAAAUUAUUAAAUAUUGUGCUAUAUUUUGCUAUGGAACCCUAAAAAAGUAGUUACAUAAAAAUGACACUAAAAUUGACUCAAAAGCUCAAACUAAUCGGCCAGAA